This 253-nucleotide ribosomal RNA is filed under the name uncultured bacterium. RNAcentral's name for it is "partial 16S ribosomal RNA". It matches the Rfam family "Bacterial small subunit ribosomal RNA", at positions 524 to 776 of the family's 1533-position model. The record is from RNAcentral.
UACGUAGGAGGCGAGCGUUGUCCGGAUUUACUGGGCGUAAAGCGCGCGCAGGCGGCACGCUAAGUAUGGUGUGAAAUCUCCCUGCUCAACGGGGAGAGAGCAUUGUAAACUAGCGAGCUAGAGGACGGUAGAGGGGGGUAGAAUUGCUGGUGUAGCGGUGAAAUGCGUAGAGAUCAGCAGGAAUACCCGUGGCGAAGGCGGCCCCCUGGGCCGAACCUGACGCUGAGGCGCGAAGGCUAGGGGAGCGAACGGG